AGAGUUUGAUCCUGGCUCAGAAUCAACGCUGGCGGCGCGCUUAACACAUGCAAGCUCGCACGAGAAAGUGGGCAACCAUGAGUACAGUGGCGAACGGGUGAGUAACACGUGGGUAAUCUACCUCUGAGUGAGGAAUAACCCUGGGAAACCGGGGCUAAUACCGCAUAAGCUCGAGAGAGGAAAGCAGCAAUGCGCUGAGA
This 200-nucleotide ribosomal RNA is filed under the name uncultured bacterium. RNAcentral describes it as "partial 16S ribosomal RNA". It matches the Rfam family "Bacterial small subunit ribosomal RNA", at positions 8 to 223 of the family's 1533-position model. The record is from RNAcentral.